AUACGGAGGGUGCAAGCGUUAAUCGGAAUUACUGGGCGUAAAGCGUACGUAGGCGGCAAGUUAAGUUAGAUGUGAAAGCCCCGGGCUCAACCUGGGAACUGCAUUUAAAACUGGCUUGCUAGAGUUGAGUAGAGGGGAGUGGAAUUUCAGGUGUAGCGGUGAAAUGCGUAGAGAUCUGAUGGAACACCAGUGGCGAAGGCGACUCCCUGGACUCGAACUGACGCUGAGGUACGAAAGCGUGGGUAGCAAACGGGAUUAGAAACCCCUGUAGUCC
Molecule: ribosomal RNA, 274 nt
Filed under: uncultured bacterium
Lineage: Bacteria
Description: partial 16S ribosomal RNA
Rfam family: Bacterial small subunit ribosomal RNA
Source: RNAcentral